UUUUUUUUUAGAUGAGAAUACAAAUGCAGGGCACAACGUCUGGCACAGCUUUGAGAUUCAGGCCAUCUUCUCUGGAGUGAAGAGAUGUUCUGCAAAUUUUGGCCGAAUGAGGGUGUGAAUGACUGAACACGGGACCCACCUUUCACUCUCAUUUCGGGGUUGCCAGCUUCUGGGAGCAAGUGGAGCCUCCACGUGCAUGGCGGUUGCCUAAGAAUGAGGUCACCCCACAGACAAGUGGGCCUGAGAGAGGGUGCCAGGAGGGCACCCAGCCUUCCAGCCAUUUGUGACACUCAAAAGUCUAGUUCAUCUUUCAAGAAGAGCUAGUCAAGAUCCACUACGCUGCCAUUCUAACCCAUCUAUAGGCUGUGAACUGUGGUUUGUGAAGAGUGAAUUGAACUGUGGGAGUGCCCACGUCUGCCUGAGAGAAUCAGGGAGGGCAAAACAGGGAGAAGAUGCUGGUGGUGGAUUUGAACGAUGACGAGGAUUUUUCCAGAUGAGUAAGAGGACGAUCAGAGCUACAUCCUGAAGAACAAG
Molecule: long non-coding RNA, 534 nt
Filed under: Sus scrofa (pig)
Lineage: Eukaryota; Metazoa; Chordata; Mammalia; Artiodactyla; Suidae
Description: lncRNA (ENSSSCG00050047009.1, ENSSSCG00060033719.1)
Source: RNAcentral